Molecule: non-coding RNA, 588 nt
Organism: Phyllostomus discolor (pale spear-nosed bat)
Lineage: Eukaryota; Metazoa; Chordata; Mammalia; Chiroptera; Phyllostomidae
Source: the annotation of a RefSeq genome assembly
UGACCUUGCAGCUCUGAGACAGGAGCUCAGCCCAGGAUUCCCAGGUGUUCCUGGAGUCUUGUCAGUACAGAACACAGACCACUCAUCAUGGAGUCUGGUUUCAUCUGGGUUUUCCGUGUUGCUGUUUUAACAGGUGUCCAGUGUGAAGUGCAGCCGGUGGAGUCUGGGGGAAGCCUGGUGAAGCCUGGGGGGUCUCUAGGACUGUCCCAUGCAGUCUCUGGAUUCACCAUCAGUAGUAGGUACUGGAUGCACUGGGUCCGCCAGGCUCCUGGGAAGGGGCUGGAAUGGAUCUCAGCAAUUGCUGGUAGUAGCACAUACUAUGCCAACUCUGUGAAGGGCCGAUUCACCAUCUCCAAAGACGAUGACAAGAACGAGCUCUAUCUGCAAAUGAAUAGCCUGAGACCUGAGGACACGGCCAUGUAUUACUGUGAGAGUGACACAGUGAGGGUACGUCAUUGGAACCCUGACACAAACCUCCCUGAAGGAGACAGGGGGGCUGGACUGCAGGGGAAGCUCCGAACACCAGGGGGCGCCCAGGGCACAUUGAGUACUGGGUGCAGUUCUGAAACAGCUGCAAAUGCACUUUAA